CCUACGGGUGGCAGCAGUGAGGAAUAUUGGUCAAUGGCCGGAAGGCUGAACCAGCCAUGCCGCGUGAUGGUCAGUGCCCUAUGGGCGUUAAACUUCUUUUGUGCGGGAGCAAUAAUGGUCACGUGUGGCCAGACGAGAGUACCGUACGAAUAAGCAUCGGCUAACUCCGUGCCAGCAGCCGCGGUAAUACGGGGGAUGCAAGCGUUAUCCGGAUUUAUUGGGUUUAAAGGGUGCGUAGGCUGUGAGGUAAGUCAGCGGUGAAAUGCCCCCGCUCAAUGGGGUGAAGUGCCAUUGAUACUGGCUGGCUGGAAUGCGGAUGCCGUGGGAGGAAUGUGGGGUGUAGCGGUGAAAUGCAUAGAUAUCACACAGAACACCGAUUGCGAAGGCAUCUCACGAAUCCGCGAUUGACGCUGAUGCACGAAAGCGUGGGUAUCAAACAGGAUUAGAGACCCUUGUAGUC
This 460-nucleotide ribosomal RNA is filed under the name uncultured bacterium. RNAcentral describes it as "partial 16S ribosomal RNA". It matches the Rfam family "Bacterial small subunit ribosomal RNA", at positions 338 to 795 of the family's 1533-position model. The record is from RNAcentral.